Molecule: long non-coding RNA, 159 nt
Organism: Oncorhynchus keta (chum salmon)
Lineage: Eukaryota; Metazoa; Chordata; Actinopteri; Salmoniformes; Salmonidae
Exons: 4
Source: RefSeq, a predicted model, not a curated record
CAACAACUCCCCACAAACACAGGUGGGAACAGGUUAGCUAAGUAUGGUUCUCAGUCAGAGACAACAACUACCCACAAACACAGGUGUGAACAGGUUAGCUAAGUAUGGUUCUCAAUCAGAGACAACAACUCCCCACAAACACAGGUGGGAACAGGUUAG